Molecule: ribosomal RNA, 439 nt
Filed under: uncultured bacterium
Lineage: Bacteria
Description: bacterial SSU rRNA
Rfam family: Bacterial small subunit ribosomal RNA
Source: RNAcentral
AGAUGAGAGCGGCGAACGGGUGAGUAAUAUAUGGGUAAUUUGCCUCUUUGUUCGGGAUAGCCAUCGGAAACGAUGAUUAAUACCGGAUGUGUUCAGGUGCUGCAUAGCACCCUAUAUAAAGGCGGGGAUCUUCGGACCUGUCGCAAAGAGAUAAGCCCAUAUCCUAUCAGCUUGUUGGUGAGGUAACGGCUCACCAAGGCUUACGGGUAGCUGGUCUGAGAGGAUGAUCAGCCACACUGGAACUGAGACACGGUCCAGACUCCUACGGGAGGCUGCAGUCGAGAAUCAUUGUCAAUGCACGAAAGUGUGAACAUGCGACGCCGCGUGGAGGAAGACGGCCUUCGGGUUGUAAACUCCUGUCAGCAGGGAGGAAGGGCAGCAUUACUAAUAGUGGUGUUGUUUGACAGUACCUGCAGAGGAAGUCACGGCUAACUCUGUG